GGGGGGGGGGGGGGGGGGGGGGGGGGGGGGGGGGGGGGGGGGGGGGGCGGGGGGGGGGCGCGGGUGGCGUUGGCGGCGGGCGGGUGGGGAGCGCGGGGGUGGCCUACCUGUAAGCUGGGGAUAACUUCGGGAAACGGGGGCUAAUGCCGGAUCAUAUCUUGACCCGCCUUGUUCAAUCGUGAAAGCCGGGUGUGCUGUCACGUAUCGAUGGAUCCCCGCCGCAUUAGCUAGUUGGUAAGGUAACGGCUUACCACGGCAACGAUGCGUAGCCGACCUAAGAGGGUGUUCGGCCACACUGGAACUGAGACACGGUCCAGACUCCUACGGGAGGCAGCAGUAGGGAAUCUUCCGCAAUGGGCGAAAGCCUGACGGAGCAACGCCGCGUGAGUGAUGAAGGUCUUCGGAUCGUAAAACUCUGUUAUUAGGGAAGAACAAAUGUGUAAGUAACUAUGCACGUCUUGACGGUACCUAAUCAGAAAGCCACGGCUAACUACGUG
This 497-nucleotide ribosomal RNA is filed under the name uncultured bacterium. RNAcentral describes it as "partial 16S ribosomal RNA". It matches the Rfam family "Bacterial small subunit ribosomal RNA", at positions 38 to 507 of the family's 1533-position model. The record is from RNAcentral.